GGACGAUUAGCUCAGCGGGAGAGCACUUCCCUGACACGGAAGGGGUCACUGGUUCAAUCCCAGUAU
RNAcentral lists this transfer RNA (66 nucleotides) under Streptomyces sp. Root1319. Its description in RNAcentral is "tRNA-Val". It matches the Rfam family "tRNA". Rfam says of the family: Transfer RNA (tRNA) molecules are approximately 80 nucleotides in length. Their secondary structure includes four short double-helical elements and three loops (D, anti-codon, and T loops). Further hydrogen bonds mediate the characteristic L-shaped molecular structure. tRNAs have two regions of fundamental functional importance: the anti-codon, which is responsible for specific mRNA codon recognition, and the 3' end, to which the tRNAs corresponding amino acid is attached (by aminoacyl-tRNA synthetases). tRNAs cope with the degeneracy of the genetic code in two manners: having more than one tRNA (with a specific anti-codon) for a particular amino acid; and 'wobble' base-pairing, i.e. permitting non-standard base-pairing at the 3rd anti-codon position. Lineage: Bacteria; Bacillati; Actinomycetota; Actinomycetes; Kitasatosporales; Streptomycetaceae. The record is from RNAcentral.